UACGGAGGGGGCUAGCGUUGUUCGGAAUUACUGGGCGUAAAGCGCACGUAGGCGGCUUUGUAAGUUAGAGGUGAAAGCCCGGGGCUCAACCCCGGAAUUGCCUUUAAGACUGCAUCGCUAGAAUUGUGGAGAGGUAAGUGGAAUUCCGAGUGUAGAGGUGAAAUUCGUAGAUAUUGGGAAGAACACCAGUGGCGAAGGCGGCCAUCUGGACCGGUACUGACGCUGAGGCGCGAAAGCGUGGGGAGCAAACAGG
Molecule: ribosomal RNA, 253 nt
Filed under: uncultured bacterium
Lineage: Bacteria
Description: partial 16S ribosomal RNA
Rfam family: Bacterial small subunit ribosomal RNA
Source: RNAcentral